This 506-nucleotide ribosomal RNA is filed under the name uncultured fungus. Its description in RNAcentral is "SSU rRNA". It matches the Rfam family "Eukaryotic small subunit ribosomal RNA", at positions 569 to 1078 of the family's 1831-position model. The record is from RNAcentral. Lineage: Eukaryota; Fungi.
AGCAGCCGCGGUAAUUCCAGCUCCAAUAGCGUAUAUUAAAGUUGUUGCAGUUAAAAAGCUCGUAGUUGAAUUUCGGGAUUAGUACGUCGGUCGUGCCUUCGGUACGUACUGGUGUUACUGAUUCCUACCUUCUGACGAACCAUCAUGUCAUUAAUUUGGUGUGGCGGGGAAUCAGGACUGUUACUUUGAAAAAAUUAGAGUGUUUAAAGCAGGCUCGCGCUUGAAUACAUUAGCAUGGAAUAAUGAAAUAGGACGUUUGAUCCUAUUUUGUUGGUUUCUAGGAUUGACGUAAUGAUUAAUAGGGAUAGUUGGGGGCAUUAGUAUUCAAUUGUCAGAGGUGAAAUUCUUGGAUUUAUUGAAGACUAACUACUGCGAAAGCAUUUGCCAAGGAUGUUUUCAUUAAUCAAGAACGAAAGUUAGGGGAUCGAAGACGAUCAGAUACCGUCGUAGUCUUAACCAUAAACUAUGCCGACUAGGGAUCGGAUGAUGUUAUUUUUAAUGACUCA